CAUUUUCGAAAUGCUCAACAGUGAGGUCGUGGGUACAGUGGCGACCACUGCCGCAAGGUAGUGAUUGCUGUAAUUCCUUUGACGUAAAGGCGUUCUGGACGCGGGUUCGAUUCCCGCCACCUCCACCAGAUGGCGUUUUCGCUAGACGUUAUCUGAUGGGGGUGACCUGGUUUCGACAGGGCGAGAUAGCGAAGAAGGCAGCAGGAGAGGUGACCGACCUAAUCGGCACAAAUCUGUAAAUGCAAACAAUAGCACUUACGCCCUGACGGGUACCUAAUCCGUCUCG
Molecule: transfer-messenger RNA, 286 nt
Filed under: Burkholderia sp. Bp8986
Lineage: Bacteria; Pseudomonadati; Pseudomonadota; Betaproteobacteria; Burkholderiales; Burkholderiaceae
Rfam family: Betaproteobacteria transfer-messenger RNA
About the family: Bacterial tmRNA, also known as 10Sa RNA or SsrA, is named for its dual tRNA and mRNA-like properties. Its role is to liberate the mRNA from a stalled ribosome.
Source: RNAcentral